This 333-nucleotide unclassified non-coding RNA is filed under the name soil metagenome. RNAcentral's name for it is "partial contains 5.8S ribosomal RNA, internal transcribed spacer 2, and large subunit ribosomal RNA". The stretch from base 1 to 120 matches the Rfam family "5.8S ribosomal RNA", at positions 35 to 154 of the family's 154-position model. The record is from RNAcentral.
GAUGAAGAACGUAGCGAAAUGCGAUAAGUAAUGUGAAUUGCAGAAUUCAGUGAAUCAUCGAAUCUUUGAACGCACAUUGCGCCCCCCAGUAUUCUGGCGGGCAUGCCUGUUCGAGCGUCAUUUCAACCAUCAAGCCCUGCUUGUGUUGGGGUCCUGCGGCUGCCCGCAGGCCCUGAAAACCAGUGGCGGGCUCGCUAGUCACACCGAGCGCAGUAGCACAUCUCGCUCAGGGCGUGCGGCGGGCUCCAGCCGUUAAAGCACCCACCUUUCGCAAGGUUGACCUCGGAUCAGGUAGGAAUACCCGCUGAACUUAAGCAUAUCAAUAACGGAGGA